RNAcentral lists this ribosomal RNA (483 nucleotides) under Citrobacter murliniae. RNAcentral describes it as "bacterial SSU rRNA". It matches the Rfam family "Bacterial small subunit ribosomal RNA", at positions 66 to 541 of the family's 1533-position model. The record is from RNAcentral. Lineage: Bacteria; Pseudomonadati; Pseudomonadota; Gammaproteobacteria; Enterobacterales; Enterobacteriaceae.
ACCACAGAGAGAGCUUGCUCCUCUGGGUGACGAGUGGCGGACGGGUGAGUAAUGUCUGGGAAACUGCCCGAUGGAGGGGGAUAACUACUGGAAACGGUAGCUAAUACCGCAUAACGUCGCAAGACCAAAGAGGGGGACCUUCGGGCCUCUUGCCAUCGGAUGUGCCCAGAUGGGAUUAGCUAGUAGGUGGGGUAACGGCUCACCUAGGCGACGAUCCCUAGCUGGUCUGAGAGGAUGACCAGCCACACUGGAACUGAGACACGGUCCAGACUCCUACGGGAGGCAGCAGUGGGGAAUAUUGCACAAUGGGCGCAAGCCUGAUGCAGCCAUGCCGCGUGUAUGAAGAAGGCCUUCGGGUUGUAAAGUACUUUCAGCGAGGAGGAAGGUGUUGUGGUUAAUAUCCUCAACAAUUGACGUUACUCGCAGAAGAUGCGCCGGCUAACUCCGUGCCAGCAGCCGCGGUAAUACGGAGGGUGCUAGUGU